CCCCCGCCCUGCCCAAUCCGUGUCAUUCAGUUGCUCUAUAUGAAGUUUUUGAGCAAUUCAUACUGCAAACUCUCCAUUUUCUGAUUGUGUUUUACGUUUCCUUCUUAGUCGACUAUUAAAUUUACAUGAUUUGUGGUUGUAUUAUGUGCCAACUCCAACCAGUUGAAGAUUGAAAUUCGGUUGCAUUAGGUCGAACUAAGUUACAAUUCUUAUUGCAUAUGCUAAUAAACAAUUUAUCUACUAACCCAAAAAAAAAAAAUCUAUAUAAUAUUCUAUCAGAUUAAGCUCGCACAGGAACUCCAAGAACUUGUUUCAUCACACAAGGUCACAACCACGCAUGACAUGCACAAAAGAAUAAUUGGUUGCAUAUCUGAAUUCUUCAAUGUUUGGCACUGCAGGCUGAAAGAUCUUCACCAGAGGUGCACAAA
This 428-nucleotide unclassified non-coding RNA is filed under the name Hevea brasiliensis (rubber tree). The record is from RNAcentral. Lineage: Eukaryota; Viridiplantae; Streptophyta; Magnoliopsida; Malpighiales; Euphorbiaceae.